AUGGCGCACGUCCCGCAUGCAGGCAGCGAUGGCCCAAGCGCUUUGCGUGCCCAAGUCCACUGCCAUGGGCAGAAGGAACCAGUCACUGUGAGAACAACUGCUGAAUGUGUUCCUGAAUCCCCCCCAGAGCUCCACCCCUUUGUGCUGAAGGCUGGCAGCAGGCCUGCGGCACCUGGAGCCACCGUGCUGCACCAGGGCAGCCCAGCACCACCAACAGCCAGCGGGAUGCGGGCAGCACGUGGGGGUUCCCUGCCCUGUGCUCCAUUCCCACCGCUGCUGGCGCCUGGGGACCCCCAUACAGCCCUUCCAAUGCGUACUGAUGUGGAGCUUGGAGCAAUCAGCAUCCUGUGCUUGAAUUUGGAGUGUGAUCCCACAGGAGAGCAAGCCAGAUAUCAGGGAGAAAUCCUGCAUUGUUGUGCUUGGAAACAGUUCCUUCCUCAGCUGGCAACACGGGGCAGGGAAGGAAGGAGCCGGACUGGUGUGGUAAUAAAUCCAUUGCAUCAGACAACCCAGCUCUAUCCAGCAUCCCCCUUCUCCCAGUCUCUUUUCCCCCCAGGCGCUGGGUGCUGGUUACCAGGACGAACCACCAGCCCACGGCAUCUGUCAGGGCCAGAAACAAGUGCUGCUGGCUGUGACAGCUGUGCUGAGGCUUCGCCAUCAGGCACCGUCAGACACAAGGCUGCGUGAGCGCUGCCAUGCACAGCACUGCAGGAUUUGGAGUCCUGAAAGCUCGUAGCUUCAGGGUAGGGUGUCAGCAGUUAUUUGUGUGCCCGCAUACCCCAGCAAUCCCAGUCCCCACUACCCCAUAGAUGUGACCCCGGUGGGGCAGCACUCAAUACCAUGGCAAAUGCGGCAGGGGAUCAGGACUUCCUCUUCCACUGUCACCCCACCAUAGAUGGGCUCUGUCACAGCAUGAAAAUGCAGCAUACACCUACCCAGCUUCCCGUGUCCUGGCUGAGCACUGCCAACAGGGCCUCACCUUCCCACCUCAGCCUGCCCCACAGCCCCCUCCUCACCCUGGCUGCCCAAGGAAGCGUGCAGGCGUUCAGUGACACUUCCAUGCCUCACUUCCCUGCGGAGCCACACUGCCGCGGAGCAGGAAGCAGCAGGAAACCCCCUGCUCCUGCCAUGUUUCUUAGGACUCACCCCUCCACCAACACAGGUAGAGCUGAGGGGCUCAGGGCUGCCCCUGUGGAAGGGCAGUGCUGGGUGGCUGGGUGCUGCAGGAGCAAGCUCACACAAAGGGAUUAUGUUUCUGAAAUCUUCCCGCUUAACAUUCCUCAACCGGACCUUUCUCAGUUACGCUUUUAUUUUUCAAUGCUCCCGUUUCAGACUCGAGCAUUAAUCUCAGGGUUUAGGGCCUUUGAUUCCGUUUUGGUCUGGUAUGAGGCACCGGGGACGCCAGCCACGGCCUCAGCAGCUGCUCCUGCAAAUGUGUGCUGGGGCCGCGAGCAGCGGGCGCUCGUCUGUCACACUGCUGGGGGCACAGAGGGGUAAUUCGCUCACAUCUCUAAUAAGGGGCUUAUGAAGCAAUUCAUUACGUUCAGCAAUUCCAAGAGUUAUCUCACUUCUAGCACACUACAGAGGACAGCGCAGGGAGCCAUCACCUUCUCCCACAGCCAGGUGAAUAAAGCUUUGUUCAGGUUCA
Numida meleagris (helmeted guineafowl) is the source of this 1648-nucleotide long non-coding RNA. The record is from Ensembl. NCBI's taxonomy places the organism in Eukaryota, Metazoa, Chordata, Aves, Galliformes, Numididae.